Molecule: transfer RNA, 742 nt
Filed under: Bradyrhizobium sp.
Lineage: Bacteria; Pseudomonadati; Pseudomonadota; Alphaproteobacteria; Hyphomicrobiales; Nitrobacteraceae
Description: partial miscellaneous RNA
Rfam family: tRNA (bases 194-267)
Source: RNAcentral
CCUUUCUANGGAUGGUUCUUCAGAAGCUUGCUUCUAUCGAACCGUUUUAGAAACAUCAGUGGCCAACGAUCGUCAGGAUUGUUGAGCUGCAUUGGCGGGAUUUCGCCGUCUUCGUUUCUCUUUCUUCGCGGACGAACACGCGCUGGGCCUGCAUGACGCAGGGUCCCUGGUCCUNGNNNGGGAUAUGCGUUAGGGGCUUGUAGCUCAGUUGGUUAGAGCGCGCGCUUGAUAAGCGUGAGGUCGGAAGUUCAAGUCUUCCCAGGCCCACCAGCCUUCGCGCUUCGCUGCUUCGGCUAGGCAAGCCCUUCGAUACGAAGGCUGCCGCGCCGUAGCCUUUGCGAAGGCGGGCUGAUCAAACGAGCAUUCGUCUUCUGGUUACGGGGCCAUAGCUCAGCUGGGAGAGCGCGUGCUUUGCAAGCAUGAGGUCGUCGGUUCGAUCCCGUCUGGCUCCACCAGAUGGUUUGAUCACCGACGCUGUGUUUGCAGGUAUUCAACCGUCGUCCGCGAAACAUCACUUCGCACCUUGCUAGUCUGGAUAGACAGCAGGUUGCGUGAUUUCUGACAUCGUAAAGAGGAGAUCGAUCCGAGUUGGAUCGGGCAGCAAGCAAUUGCUGCGCGAUACUUCAUUAUCUCCGGAUCAUUUCGGCGCUCGCGCGCCUUUCGAUGCGGCUCACAAGGCUGCGUCUGAAGGGAAUGCGGGUUGUAAAUGAUCCUUUUAGCGAAGCUUGACCGCCUCGCUAUC